UUACUGACGCUGAGGAGCGAAAGCAUGGGGAGCGAACAGGAUUAGAUACCCUGGUAGUCCAUGCCGUAAACGUUGGGCACUAGGUGUGGGGGACAUUCCACGUUUUCCGCGCCGUAGCUAACGCAUUAAGUGCCCCGCCUGGGGAGUACGGCCGCAAGGCUAAAACUCAAAGGAAUUGACGGGGGCCCGCACAAGCGGCGGAGCAUGCGGAUUAAUUCGAUGCAACGCGAAGAACCUUACCAAGGCUUGACAUACACCGGAUCGUUCCAGAGAUGGUUCUUCCCUUUUGGGCUGGUGUACAGGUGGUGCAUGGUUGUCGUCAGCUCGUGUCGUGAGAUGUUGGGUUAAGUCCCGCAACGAGCGCAACCCUCGUUCUAUGUUGCCAGCACGUGAUGGUGGGGACUCAUAGGAGACUGCCGGGGUCAACUCGGAGGAAGGUGGGGAUGACGUCAAAUCAUCAUGCCCCUUAUGUCUUGGGCUUCACGCAUGCUACAAUGGCCGGUACAAUGGGUUGCGAUACUGUGAGGUGGAGCUAAUCCCAAAAAGCCGGUCUCAGUUCGGAUUGGGGUCUGCAACUCGACCCCAUGAAGUCGGAGUCGCUAGUAAUCGCAGAUCAGCAACGCUGCGGUGAAUACGUUCCCGGGCCUUG
Molecule: ribosomal RNA, 649 nt
Filed under: Rothia sp. (in: high G+C Gram-positive bacteria)
Lineage: Bacteria; Bacillati; Actinomycetota; Actinomycetes; Micrococcales; Micrococcaceae
Description: bacterial SSU rRNA
Rfam family: Bacterial small subunit ribosomal RNA
Source: RNAcentral